AGUUCGGAUUGCAGGCUGCAACUCGCCUGUAUGAAGUCGGAAUUGCUAGUAAUCGCGGAUCAGCAUGCCGCGGUGAAUACGUUCCCGGGCCUUGUACACACCGCCCGUCACACCAUGAGAGCCGGGAACACCCGAAGUCCGUAGUCUAACCGUAAGGAGGACGCGGCCGAAGGUGGGUUUGGUAAUUGGGGUGAAGUCGUAACAAGGUACC
Molecule: ribosomal RNA, 211 nt
Filed under: uncultured bacterium
Lineage: Bacteria
Description: partial 16S ribosomal RNA
Rfam family: Bacterial small subunit ribosomal RNA
Source: RNAcentral